UUGGGGAUUUUAAUCGGAAGGUUGAUUGCCUUUUCUUCUUUGCUGGUACACUUUCCAUCACUUUAGCUUCCUUGGGGUCCACAGACAGACUUUUAAUCUCCCCCCUCACAUUCACCAUCAUGUUCCUGAUCUUUGUUUGCUUGGGGCUUGACUCCUUCUAAUAUGAAUAUUAGGCAUCUUGCCAUCUCCGAUGACAGAUCAGCUCUUUGAUGUGUCUAAUUAUGAUGGAGAGGGGGCAGAGAAAGCAGGACCUCCUGAAGCCAGGAUAAAUUUGCUGUCCUUAUAAACUCUAAGCAGUAAUGUGUUCCUCUGCUUCCCCUCUUGCAUGUGGCAGCAUCCCAAACUCCUGUCCUGCCCAACCCAAACAGUUCGGUGAAUGUCCCAUCCAAGGGAAGUUUCCACACUGGAACCUGCUUAAUUUGAAAGAGAGAAGAUGGCAGAAGGCAGGAAGGCAUUAUGACAGGGAGGGGUAGGGAGUUGGGGAAUGGGGAGUUGAACAUCAGCUUUGCAUGGCAAAAGCAUAGGUGUCUGUCUGAAAGAAAUCUGAUGCUGAGUUCCUCCACCCCACAUAACUCUCUCUGUCUCACUAUCACAGAGUGACACUCAGUACUCACAUCAGUGCUUUUCAAAACUCAUCAAAUUCUACCUCACAACACCUUUCUACACUGAAUUUUCAUUUCAGUUCUAUGGAUGCUGUUCAGAGGCAGGAAACAUUGCUUUAAGAGCAAGAGGCUUAGAAGCACACUAGGAUCGAAGUCGCUCCUGUUGCUUGUUUCUCCACAGGAGAAGGAUGGGAUCUGGCUGUUUGUGAAUGUGACCUGUCCCCCCUCGUUACUGACGCACACUAUGGGAGGUAAGCUUUUCCAGUCCUCUGUUGGCUGGUGACGUAGUCCAGGGUGCAUACACACACCAGCAUUGUGUCCUGGGGCUUCGAAUGCCUUUAUCUAUGUCAUGCAUUGGUUUUUACAGUUUGCUAUGAAUCACUGAUGCCUGCUGGGAACACAUACCCGCUUCAGG
Molecule: long non-coding RNA, 1017 nt
Filed under: Numida meleagris (helmeted guineafowl)
Lineage: Eukaryota; Metazoa; Chordata; Aves; Galliformes; Numididae
Description: lncRNA (ENSNMEG00000015063.1)
Source: RNAcentral